Molecule: unclassified non-coding RNA, 205 nt
Filed under: Hevea brasiliensis (rubber tree)
Lineage: Eukaryota; Viridiplantae; Streptophyta; Magnoliopsida; Malpighiales; Euphorbiaceae
Source: RNAcentral
UAUUUUUUUACCCAAAGUCUUUGUAUACUUCAAAAAAAGAAAAAAAAAAUUGCCUAACUCUGCAUAGUCUCAACCUUAACGUCCCAAACAAUAUACCUUUUUCUGUCUCUCAGUGAUGGUGGUAGCAUAACUGUUCGGUGAGACUCUGCAACUCUUGAUGGCUUGCUGCUUUGGGUAUUGUUCUGGAAAGAGCGCUGACACCAGA